GAUGAACGCUGGCGGCGUGCCUAACACAUGCAAGUCGAGCGAACGGACGAGAAGCUUGCUUCUCUGAUGUUAGCGGCGGACGGGUGAGUAACACGUGGAUAACCUACCUAUAAGACUGGGAUAACUUCGGGAAACCGGAGCUAAUACCGGAUAAUAUUUUGAACCGCAUGGUUGAUAAGUGAAAGACGGUCUUGCUGUCACUUAUAGAUGGAUACGCGCUGCAUUAGCUAGUUGGUAAGGUAACGGCUUACCAAGGCGACGAUGCAUAGCCGACCUGAGAGGGUGAUCGGCGACACUGGAGCGUAGCCACGGCCCAUACGACUACGAGAGGCAGCAGUAGCGAAUCUUCCGCAAUAGGCGAAAACCUGACGGAGCAGCGGCGAGUGAGUGAUGAAGGUCUUCGGAUCGGAAAACUCUGUUAUUAGGGAAGAACAUAUUUGUAAGUAACUGUGCACAGCUUGACGGUACCUAAUCAGAAAGCCACGGCUAACUACGUG
Molecule: ribosomal RNA, 497 nt
Filed under: uncultured bacterium
Lineage: Bacteria
Description: partial 16S ribosomal RNA
Rfam family: Bacterial small subunit ribosomal RNA
Source: RNAcentral